GCUAUACAUGCAGUCGAGCGAACAGACAAGGAGCUUGCUCCUUUGACGUUAGCGGCGGACGGGUGAGUAACACGUGGGUAACCUACCUAUAAGACUGGGAUAACUUCGGGAAACCGGAGCUAAUACCGGAUAAUAUUUCGAACCGCAUGGUUCGAUAGUGAAAGAUGGUUUUGCUAUCACUUAUAGAUGGACCCGCGCCGUAUUAGCUAGUUGGUAAGGUAACGGCUUACCAAGGCGACGAUACGUAGCCGACCUGAGAGGGUGAUCGGCCACACUGGAACUGAGACACGGUCCAGACUCCUACGGGAGGCAGCAGUAGGGAAUCUUCCGCAAUGGGCGAAAGCCUGACGGAGCAACGCCGCGUGAGUGAUGAAGGUCUUCGGAUCGUAAAACUCUGUUAUUAGGGAAGAACAUACGUGUAAGUAACUGUGCACGUCUUGACGGUACCUAAUCAGAAAGCCACGGCUAACUACGUGCCAGCAGCCGCGGUAAUACGUAGGUGGCAAGCGUUAUCCGGAAUUAUUGGGCGUAAAGCGCGCGUAGGCGGUUUUUUAAGUCUGAUGUGAAAGCCCACGGCUCAACCGUGGAGGGUCAUUGGAAACUGGAAAACUUGAGUGCAGAAGAGGAAAGUGGAAUUCCAUGUGUAGCGGUGAAAUGCGCAGAGAUAUGGAGGAACACCAGUGGCGAAGGCGACUUUCUGGUCUGUAACUGACGCUGAUGUGCGAAAGCGUGGGGAUCAAACAGGAUUAGAUACCCUGGUAGUCCACGCCGUAAACGAUGAGUGCUAAGUGUUAAGGGGGUUUCCGCCCCUUAGUGCUGCAGCUAACGCAUUAAGCACUCCGCCUGGGGAGUACGACCGCAAGGUUGAAACUCAAAGGAAUUGACGGGGACCCGCACAAGCGGUGGAGCAUGGGGGUUUAAUUCGAAGCAACGCGAAGAACCUUACCAAAUCUUGACAUCCUUUGACAACUCUAGAGAUAGAGCCUUCCCCUUCGGGGGACAAAGUGACAGGUGGUCAUGGUUGUCGUCAGCUCGUGUC
This 1039-nucleotide ribosomal RNA is filed under the name Staphylococcus epidermidis. RNAcentral's name for it is "bacterial SSU rRNA". It matches the Rfam family "Bacterial small subunit ribosomal RNA", at positions 48 to 1066 of the family's 1533-position model. Lineage: Bacteria; Bacillati; Bacillota; Bacilli; Caryophanales; Staphylococcaceae. The record is from RNAcentral.